Molecule: ribosomal RNA, 379 nt
Filed under: uncultured bacterium
Lineage: Bacteria
Description: partial 16S ribosomal RNA
Rfam family: Bacterial small subunit ribosomal RNA
Source: RNAcentral
UGGGGAAUUUUGGACAAUGGGCGCAAGCCUGAUCCAGCCAUGCCGCGUGCGGGAAGAAGGCCUUCGGGUUGUAAACCGCUUUUGUCAGGGAAGAAAUCUUCUGAGUUAAUACCUCGGGAGGAUGACGGUACCUGAAGAAUAAGCACCGGCUAACUACGUGCCAGCAGCCGCGGUAAUACGUAGGGUGCAAGCGUUAAUCGGAAUUACUGGGCGUAAAGCGUGCGCAGGCGGUUUUGUAAGACAGAGGUGAAAUCCCCGGGCUCAACCUGGGAACUGCCUUUGUGACUGCAAGGCUUGAGGUGCGGCAGAGGGGGAUGGAAUUCCGCGUGUAGCAGUGAAAUGCGUAGAUAUGCGGAGGAACACCGAUGGCGAAGGCAAU